GACACCUCAGUGAUCCCUCCACCCAGAAUUUCCUUUUAAAGUAGCACAUACAACAAGCACAGUACCAUAUCUCCCAUGAGUCAUCAUUUUCCCUUUUAUGGGACUGCCUUAAUUUCACUGUUUAAAAAACAAUUGUGUGAGACUUUAUUUUGCUUUGAAGUCCAAAAACAAACUCUUAAUGGCGACGGGUAUGUGUAUGAGACUCACAUGCAGCCUUGUCUGGAACAUAGCCUUUAACUUCCCAAGUGCUGGGACUGAGGGCAUGCACAACACUACCUAAUGGGUUUGCUAGCUUUUCUAGCCAAAAGCCAAGUAUUUAGAAUGACUGUUGAUACACUUUACAAGAUGUUAAGAGCUCACAUUUUUUAGCCAUUGACUUACCUGUAUAUAUUGCUUUAUUGGCGUAAGCAAAUGAAGUUAACUCUGGUUGUUUUAAAUCAAUUUCCCAUUACUCUUAAACCACAGUACCUUAACCACUGCUACCCAUUCACAAUUGGAAUAAAAAUCAGUGUUUUGGUGUUCUGCAAAAGUGGUAACUCAAAACACUAUCUGGUUAAAAUCCAUGGUUUCAAAAUGCCACCAUUAGUGUUCAGCAUCAAGUUGUAGCAGUGCACAAUUCAUAGUAAGGUAUAUUUUAUUAGACAGUAAAUAAUGCCUAUUAAUGCUUUUUUCUCCUAUUAGUAUUGAAUGAGAACUAAAUGUAUAGUUCUGUGCAAAACUAGUCUAGCAUUUAUAGUGUCGAUCUUGUAGACAACUGAUGUUGAUAGAACAAGAUUCACACUUAUGUGUAAGCAUUACACCAAGUAAUUUGGAUACAAAAGUAUUUAUUUUAUAAAACUUGUAUUUAAAAUAGAGCUCUUAUCUGUCUACUCACAAAUCCUAAAACAAUACAUUAUCCUUUGCUAAUUUGAUGUUACCCUUUACAAUCAGCAUUUUUGUAAUUUUAUUAAGAACCUGUACUAAAUGAAGUUUUAAAUCAGAAAACAUUCCCUUUUCUUAAAAGUGCUUCUUAAAUGAAGGCACCAACAAGAACUACUUUCAGAUGGUACAGAAUUUCUUAUUUCUUGAAGACUCUGUGGUUGACCACUUCUUCAUUAGUUACCUGCAGCAAGACACCUUCCUGCCAAAGGAAAAAAAAAGUAUCUGAAGAAGUUUAUCAUGUUUGUCCACAGAACCUAAGUAACUUCAGUGGUGGGUUUAGGAUUAAAGCAGACUCACUGAUGUGUAUAAUAAGCGCUCAAUAUCACAUUUCUGAAAAGGCAAUAAAGCCUAGAAAUCAAGAGGGCUGUUUCAGGAAAUUUCAAUAGCCAACCUACAACAUUUUAGGGCAGGACAAUGGGCAAAAAAUUACCACAUUUUACCCCAACUAUUUAGUACAGGGUACAUAGAGGGUUUUGCUGCUGCUGUUGCACAGAAACUUCUACUGUAAGAAAACACUGUCAGACUCAUCCCUGAUAAGCAUGUAUAGUUGUUACCACAAUAAACACAAUGCC
This 1493-nucleotide long non-coding RNA is filed under the name Mus musculus (house mouse). RNAcentral's name for it is "long non-coding RNA chr6:51460313-51461806". Lineage: Eukaryota; Metazoa; Chordata; Mammalia; Rodentia; Muridae. The record is from RNAcentral.